RNAcentral lists this ribosomal RNA (456 nucleotides) under uncultured bacterium. RNAcentral's name for it is "bacterial SSU rRNA". It matches the Rfam family "Bacterial small subunit ribosomal RNA", at positions 340 to 784 of the family's 1533-position model. The record is from RNAcentral.
UACGGGAGGCAGCAGUGGGGAAUAUUGCACAAUGGGCGAAAGCCUGAUGCAGCUAUGCCGCGUGUAUGAAGAAGGCCUUAGGGUUGUAAAGUACUUUCAUCGGGGAGGAAAAAACAAAACUAAUAAUUUUAUUUCUUGACGUUACCCGAAAAAGAAGCACCGGCUAACUCCGUGCCAGCAGCCGCGGUAAUACGGAGGGUGCUAGCGUUAAUCAGAAUUACUGGGCGUAAAGAGCACGUAGGUGGUUUUUUUAAAGUCAGAUGUGAAAUCCCCUGGGCUUAACCUAGGAACUGCAUUUUGAAACUGAAAUACUAGAGUAUCGUAGAGGGAGGUAGAAUUCUAGGUGUAGCGGUGAAAUGCGUAGAUAUCUGGAGGAAUACCUGUGGCGAAAGCGGCCUCCUAAACGAAUACUGACACUGAGGUGCGAAAGCGUGGGGAGCAAACAGGGAUUAGAUA